Molecule: ribosomal RNA, 200 nt
Filed under: uncultured bacterium
Lineage: Bacteria
Description: partial 16S ribosomal RNA
Rfam family: Bacterial small subunit ribosomal RNA
Source: RNAcentral
AGAGUUUGAUCCUGGCUCAGGAUAAACGCUGGCGGCGUGCCUAACACAUGCAAGUCGAACGCCCUUGCCGCAAGGUGAGGGAGUGGCGGACGGGUGAGGAACACGUGGGUUAUCUACCGGUAGGUGAGGAAUACCGGCGAGAAAUCGCCGACAAGACCGCAUACGCUUGCGAGAGCAAGCAAAGUCGCAAGACGCCUGCC